AGUACGUGCAUGUCAUCCAUACCGCUGGACAAGCCUAGCCAGUUCUCAUGGGUAUCGAUAUGAAAUCUAACAUACUUAGGCUUUCAAAAGCGCAUUUGCUAUAAAAUUUUCCAGUCGUAUUAAAACUAGUCAAAUUACACAAAUAGAAUUCUUAUUAUUUCCAGUACGAUCGUUGGACCGGUAAGGCAACAAGGUGUCAAGGGUUGAGGACGACCGUGAAUUAAAAACAUUCUGGCAAAGGGACGUAACGUCGCGUCGUAAACUCAACGUAGAGAGUCAAUUGGUGCAGAACGUAGAAUCGACAGGAUUAAGGAAAUCCUCAUAGAGGAACAGAGGGACUGAUUCGGAAGAUGCGCGUUACGCGAGAGCAGAUACUCGACUGAGUGAUAAACGAGCCUUGAUUGGCUUAAUAUAGUACGUUGCCGGAGUAAUUGGUCGCUCCCUUGCCGUGCGGGAAAUGAUUGGUCAAUUUAAUCCUAGGACGUAGUGCAUUAGGCAUUCAGUCGACGUACAAACUCCCUAUUAACUGUCAUAACUUUGUUCUUCUUCUUAGUCUUACGCUCCAUUUCGUUUUUCUUCUUUUUUCGCUCCUCCUUUUCACGUUAUUUGUAUUUAUUUACAAUUAUUAAUUCAAUCCUCACGCGAACCGUACGGAUAUCAUUCGCGUUUUCAUCCCUUGUUAUCUCUCUCUUUUCUCCCAAAUUCUUCCCACCUUCCUUUCUGUCAAUGCGCUCUUUUUUCUUUCUUGCAUCAUUAUAAUGUGACUAUACCGUACCGAUGUAUUUACGUACCGUACCUACGAGUUCUCCCUCUCUUCGGAUCAAUUUAUCAAUUUAAAUCACUGCAUCGUGACUGUGAAUGGACCGCGCGCACUAUAUCUAUACACAGCGUACGAACUACAUACAUUAUGCGCUAUGUUUGCGUGUAUGCAUGUCGUACAUGUAGUACACCUAUACGGGGUGUGAAGAAAAAUAUUGAAUCAUCGUCAUUCCGACCUGUACGCAGAAAAUAGAUGAAAUUACAUUGCGAUCGUAGAAGGAACCGGAAACACAUGUCGAAUAAUGUGUGCUCUCUACGGUCAAGUUCCCUCUGAAGUAGUUGGAGGGGAAGAAAUGCAGAGAUACGUUCUGCCUACUCACAAUUCAUUGGAUAAAUAAUUAUUCCCACUUUCCCGAGACGGUCAUGUAGAUAUCGGAGGAUAUAAGUGUACGGAGCUUAAAUGUGCCCGGAGAUGAUGAUCUUCGGGGAUUGGGGAAAAUGAGCGAAGGAAAACAGUUGAUAGGGAGCUGUCGGAUACUUCAGAUGCGACAGAGGCAGGAGCAGCUUAGAAAACAGCAGCAGGCGGUUUGUUAUACGUUUGCAAAGUAGUACGUACGUGCAUAAGUACGUGUACGUACCGUGCAUCAUUAUGAUCCGAUGGUGGGAGACUUGAUGUACCAAUAGGAAACGUUCGUUCUUAACUUACAAUUAGAAGGGUGAACAAAAAAGUGGGGAGUACAGGCGGAAAUCCUAUUCUAAACAUGAAUGAAUCGUACGUCACAUUUGAUACGACCAUCGAAUUGGAAAACACCGCAGCAGCGAUAACCGGCGACGAUGUACACAUACCGCGACGAUGUGACGACGGCGCCGAGUCAACAACGUGAAAAGUAAUCGUACCCAGCGACGACGACGACGACGAUGAUGAUCCUACGAAGACGCAAUGAUCCUGGAGGUUCGUUGGACGUGAGGUCUACCAAGGAACUGAUGAUUUUUCGAAAUUGGUCACGAAAUUUAUAUAAUGCCGACAAUGCCAGCUGCAACAGUGCCGACGUUGUAUUAAAGUAAACACAGGGCGGUUACGAUUUGUAUAAUUAGUCAUUGCUGAAUAAUUUUCGGAGAUCGACUACUUCGGUUGUACUUCGAACGUCUUAUUUGUCGAUUGCAGCAGCUGUUGGGGAUUGACCGACGCGAUUAUUAUCAGUGGUCAAGAUGGUCCGAGCUGUGAACACAACAACGAGCAUGUGGAAUAUUAUUUCUGCCCAUUAUUGCGGUCACAAAGCGGAACGUCUCCAAUAAUUACAGUAGAAUUACUGCACUUUUCAUUGGAACAUUCUUCUCAGUGUCGUCAUACUUUCUUUAUUUUUCUUGCCGUUGGUUCUUUUGGUAUCUCAUAAUAUUUCAUGCGAACUUCGACUAGAUUUUGGAUGAAAAAAAGAAUUUCGACGUUAUUUCAAUGAAGACAUUUUUGUCGUUGAAAGUCACGUCAUCAUCCGACCAAGGAGAAGAAUUUAUGAUUGUUUGUGUCAAAUUUGGGCUCCAAGCGCAUAUUGCGACAUGUCGAACAUUGGACGCGGGAUUAUUCAUCGUUUGUUUGAACAAACUACCGAAAGUUCAUCGCCGCAGUGCAAAGGCUGUGUUAUACUCGAGUAAACUUCUCACAACUGACAAUAAGACGGAGAUAAUCGCCGAUGGCAACUAUGACGACUAAUCCUCGACACAUUCUCCAUGGUUUACCAUUGCGAUAGCCGUUAUACAACACGCCCCUAUGCUAUGCAUAUAGCCAUUAUAUGUUAUAUGCCUGCAGUUCUUUCAACGACUCAACGAGUCAUGCAGACUUCAAUUUCAUACUUGGUAAUGAAGAAUAAGUAAAAAGCUAUACACACACCCAUGUAUGUUACCGACGCUAUGAAGAAAUCCCGCUGAAUAAGGGUGGGAGCAUGGUGGAAGUGUGUAUUUUUUCCUCUCUUUUUUCUUUUGAUCAUAUUUUUUUCUUCCUACCCUCGUGUUGUAUAUGAGUUUUCGUUUAUCAUUGUGAAAAUCAGGCUUUGGUUCGUAGCGGGUUUCAAAAGCUGUAUUAUAUACGAUGAUCGCUUCCUUCGGCAAUGUUCAUUUUUGUUAUACCUCCGUGACUUUUCCCAUGCGGGUGUACUGUACGCUCAUUUAAACUCUCCCGCCUUUUUUGUUGGAUGGUCUUUUUUUUGCUGUGUGAAUUACUCUGUUUCACCAAUGGCAUGACAAAUGUUCAUACGAAGUAUAAAAUUGAUAUCACAAACGAACUAAAAUAAACGACAAAAUAGGAUUGCUCGUCCACCUUCUUUUCUACCAACGAAUCGAUUUCUUUUUCUCUUUUUGAUGGGCACACGACCAAAUCUCGCGAAUUUAUUUUCUGGAGAAAAGAAUUACCCGAUAUUUGUUCGGCCAUGCUUUCGGCUUUACGUGGAUACAUGUCUCUACGUGCAAGUUUUUGUUCCGCUUUUUUUUCACAAGAAUGUGAGAUUGUUAAAUGUGUGCAACGUCUGCGUGGGCGUAUAUCUGCAGUUGAACUUCUCAUCCGGCGUGACCGCCACAUUACAUUAAAAACUUAUUUCAUAGGAUCAACCGUAGAUAUAUCUAUAGAUAAACCGUAUUUUGAAAUGUUAGGUUGACGGAAAUUUCAUUUAUACCGUACAUGUUGAUAUUUGAUGUAUUCUAAAUCCUAAUACGGUUUCCGAUAAUUGUUCUUCUAUCUUUAUUAUACCACUGUCGGAAUCUAGAUCUAAGUGCGAGAAUGAAUCGUGUGUUUUGUAAUAGAAUUUCUCGAAUUAUAGGAUACUCAAAAUAACAAUUAUCGCUCUACGAAUUUGCAAAUAACUUCUAGAACGUUUCUUGCCAAUUAAUCUCAAAUUUACACUCACCUAGUUCAAUACUACGUAGGAUAGUCGUAGGUGGUAAUAAUCUAGUUGAUAGUAUUACGAAAAUCGAUCUAUAGAAUUAUAAUUUUCUUUUUCUUCUGUUUUUGGUGAGAAAUUUUUUGGUUUCAAAUUGAGACUUUUUCACGUGGCAGUCUAAAGUAGAGUGGACCGUUCGCAGUCAUCGGGUAUUAAAUUCUCCCCAAUGUACACAUCACGGCACAGAUGCACAGGUGUUUUUUCUAAGGUCACGUGUUAUCAACGAUAUAGAUAUAACUGAAACGUAUAAAAUUCAAAUAUUAUUACAAUAUAUGCGAUAUAAUAUGCCACAUAUCGCGCAAUUCAACGUAUCCCAAUAAUAAGCUCAACGGCGACACCUCUUCGUGACAAAUGGGGAGAAAUGUAAAAUAUUCAUUUAUCCGUCACCGGUUCCAGAGGUCAGGUGGUGCCUGCAGAAUCAAUUGUUAAAAAAAAUGAAAAAGAACAAAGAAUAUUUUGUUUCAAACGACAAGAAGAAUUCAACCUAUCGUUCAUUACCAAAGUAAAAGCCAUUAUCGGCUAUUCGAACUUUUCAAUAGGACUUGUUCAACAUUGUUAGUACACCCUGUAGAUAUGCGAGUAUUUUAAUAUACAUAUUCUUAUGCAUACAGGGAUAGGUGUGCAGGGAUAGGUGUGCAUGUACGUGUCGCUACCAACAUAUUUAACGAUGGUGGCAGUAGGCUCUGAGUGGCGUUAAUUUCAACUUCCUCUCCGUGGAUGAGAUUCAUUCCACGGGUUUCCGGCGCAUACCCACACACCACAUUCUAUCCAAUUUAAUACACUCACCACGGUGAAUUUAUCAACCCGAGAACUUGUGUGCGUAUUAUUUGUACGCUUGUUUCACAUACCCAUAUCGUUAGAUUUGGAUCUGAAGCGUCAAAGAGUAUAACGAAAACCUGGAAUACCGUUGCCAGCCAUUAUUUUGGCAAUUGAAUGUUCAGUUACAACUAUUCGUUGUAUUAUUUUGAAAUUACUUCUUGGCCAGUAGUAGUGGAAUUAAAAUAUAAUAAUAAGAUAUUUUCUCUUCUCUCCCAUUCAGUAGGAAUAAGGAAUGAAUAGCGACGACGAACGCCCACGCGUGGUGUACCCGGUGGAUCGCAUGCGAGUGUCAAAGUACGAUGCAAUGAUUCAGAUGUCAUGGUGUCAGAUGCCUCCCGUCUUCUUUCACGGCGGUUAAAUUGGUGAAAGCAUUACCAAAGAGGGGUUAAACGGUUUCAAUCGGCCUUAACUUCUUUUAAACGCAUACCGGUAUUUCGAACUACGGAGAUAUUGCCAUCGUCGUUAGAUAGGAGGGAAAUUCUUGUGAUUA
Long non-coding RNA from Athalia rosae (coleseed sawfly), 4995 nucleotides. RefSeq lists it as uncharacterized. NCBI's taxonomy places the organism in Eukaryota, Metazoa, Arthropoda, Insecta, Hymenoptera, Athaliidae. The transcript is spliced from 6 exons. The record is from RefSeq and is a predicted model, not a curated record.